UUCAUUACAAAAUACAUUCUCUAAUUUAGGUAAAAAAGUACCGUUUUUCCUAAUUAAAUCAUAUCUAAUCUGGGAUGGGUGUCCCAGUCUCUUGUGCCAAAUGUUUGCUGAUGGUGUUCUGUUGACAGCAUAUGACCUUGGUUGUUCCAGGACUUCUUUUCUUCCAUUCAGCAUGUAGAGUCCAUCGAUCCUUUUACCCAUAGAAAUCAAUCUCAUCUUCGAAUCCUGUAUCAAACAAUGAUCAGGAUGAAAUGAGAAGCUACAUUUUAACUGUUUUGUAAGUUUUGUUACUGAUAUCAAAUUUACAUUGAAGUCAGUAAUCUGUAGUACAUUGUGUAAUGUUAACAGAUCGUCUAUUUUAUAAUUCCCAAUGUAUCUCACAGUUGUUGUUUGUGAGUUUGGGAGGUUUACAAUAAUAGGUUUUACUAAUGCCCUUUUUUCACUUAGUGUGAUGGCUGGUCCACACAUGUAAUCUGUGGCUCCACUGUCUAUUAUCCAGUCAGUGGUGUUCCUAGUUUUUGUAUUGAAACAGAGUGAUUCUUGGGGCUUACCAGUAUGGUUUGGGUUCAUUUUUGGUUGUAUUUGUGCUCUGCCCAUGUGUACAUAAUGCUUCUCCUCUCCUGCUUGUUGGAUUUGAUUUUGGUUAAGGAGGGAUCUUAGCUGUUCCAUUAUAUCUUGAUUGCUUUGAUUCCCACUCUGAUAUUCAGGUUGACUGGGGUUAUUAAUUGUUUUGAUAUCCAUUGUCGUUUUCAGUUGUGUAAUAUUCCUGGUUUAUCUCUUCCAUUGUGUAGUUGUUUUCAUUUUCUUGCCACUGUUGGUUUUCAACUUCCUCAGAGUAGCUGUUAUAUGCCCUUGUCUGUGGUCUGAAAUUGUUGU
Molecule: long non-coding RNA, 876 nt
Filed under: Zostera marina
Lineage: Eukaryota; Viridiplantae; Streptophyta; Magnoliopsida; Alismatales; Zosteraceae
Description: long non-coding RNA (ZMAR_LNC006074)
Source: RNAcentral